UGGAAACGGAAAACACAUUUUUCUCUUCUUUCGUCGUUUCAUUUCCUCGCAAAAAUUUUGUCAAUAGCACUUAUAACGAAAUAUUGUUAAUAUAAAAGUACAUUUUGUCACUCGCUUGGCGUUUGAGGUACACUUCUGAGAUCACGGGUAUUAAUCCACCACAUAUGACCAGGUUGUUGGUCACCUCUGUCAUAUUAGUUAGUUUCUGGGGGAAACUAGCGGUAGUUGAGAUAAAGUCCAAGUCGCUGGAAAGUUUACAUAUUUAUUUCACAUCCAUAUAUUUCAAAUAUUAAAACAUAACUGAAUAACAACAUACAAACAAAUAUAAAAUACAAAUUCAAAAGACUGAUUGACAUACGGAAAAUGAACCAAUCAAAUAUCUUUUUAUUAAAUAAUAUUAAUUCG
This 405-nucleotide long non-coding RNA is filed under the name Mytilus galloprovincialis (Mediterranean mussel). Lineage: Eukaryota; Metazoa; Mollusca; Bivalvia; Mytilida; Mytilidae. The record is from RNAcentral.